This 494-nucleotide ribosomal RNA is filed under the name uncultured bacterium. Its description in RNAcentral is "partial 16S ribosomal RNA". It matches the Rfam family "Bacterial small subunit ribosomal RNA", at positions 28 to 523 of the family's 1533-position model. The record is from RNAcentral.
GAUGAACGCUAGCGGCAGGCCUAACACAUGCAAGUCGAGGGGUAUAAGUCUUCGGACUUUGAGACCGGCGCACGGGUGCGUAACGCGUAUGCAAUCUACCUUGUACAGAGGGAUAGCCCAGAGAAAUUUGGAUUAAUACCUCAUAGUAUAUUUGAAUGGCAUCAUUUAAAUAUUAAAGUUCCAACGGUACAAGAUGAGCAUGCGUCCCAUUAGUUAGUUGGUGUGGUAACGGCACACCAAGACGAUGAUGGGUAGGGGUCCUGAGAGGGAGAUCCCCCACACUGGUACUGAGACACGGAACAGACUCCUACGGGAGGCAGCAGUGAGGAAUAUUGGUCAAUGGAGGCAACUCCGAACCAGCCAUGCCGCGUGCAGGAUGACGGUCCUAUGGAUUGUAAACUGCUUUUAUACGGGAAGAAAAAGAGUUACGUGUAACUUAUUGACGGUACCGUAAGAAUAAGGAUCGGCUAACUCCGUGCCAGCAGCCGCCGUAA